RNAcentral lists this unclassified non-coding RNA (592 nucleotides) under Hevea brasiliensis (rubber tree). Lineage: Eukaryota; Viridiplantae; Streptophyta; Magnoliopsida; Malpighiales; Euphorbiaceae. The record is from RNAcentral.
GGAAGAAAUAGUUCCAACUUGCAGAGAAUUAGGAAUUGGAAUUGUUCCGUAUAGUCCUCUCGGACGAGGAUUCUUCUCAGCAGGUCCAGAGUUGAUUGAGAGCUUGGCCGAGGGAGACUUCCGCAAGAAUAUACCAAGGUUCAAGCCUGAAAAUUUUGAGCACAACAAGCAAAUAUACGAGCAAGUCAAGGAAAUAGCAUCAAGAAAGGGAUGCACCACAUCACAACUUGCAUUGGCUUGGAUUCUUCACAAAGGAGAUGACAUAUGCCCCAUACCCGGUACCACCAAGAUUGACAAUCUCAACGAAAAUAUCGAAGCCAUAUCUGUAAAGCUGACAAUUGAUGAAAUGAUGCAGUUAGAGUCCUGUGCUGCUGAAGAUAUGGUUAAAGGCGAAAGGCACGCAUUCAUGUGGGCAACUUGGAUAAAUUCGGAGACUCCACCAUUGUCCUCCUGGAUAGAUGAAUAAUGGAUACUUUCUCGUCUUGCUUUGGAAGAAGCCUCCGUUAAGGCCCAAGUCUAAUUCGAAGUAAAGGCUGAACCAGGCAAUGUAGUUUUCUCGUAUUCUGAACUCAUUUUGCUAGUGCAUACCUUU